Mesocricetus auratus (golden hamster) is the source of this 696-nucleotide long non-coding RNA. RefSeq lists it as uncharacterized. The record is from RefSeq and is a predicted model, not a curated record. The transcript has 4 exons. NCBI's taxonomy places the organism in Eukaryota, Metazoa, Chordata, Mammalia, Rodentia, Cricetidae.
GAAACCUGACCUGAGGCCCAGGGCUGGUGGGCAGUGAUGACUCUUCCUGGGAGUGUCCCCAAAGUCAGCCAAGCCUCUGCUGGCCGUGGCCCUGGAAGAUGAACCUCUUGGCCCAGACACUUGCAAACCAGAGCGCAGAGAGGGAGCCACUGUCUUAAGUGGGACUGGAGACAAGAAACCCACCUUCUACUAUUUGGUGAGAAGAACCUGCCACACUGGAGUCCAGGGAGAUACUCCUACCAUGCUGAAGUUAAGGCCAGACACUUGCUAUGUUGAUAUCCAGAUGAGACACCUACCAAGCUUUCAUCCAAGUGAGACACCUGCUGUAUCAAUAUCCAGUCGCAGUGUUACAUGGAAGCAGGCAUUCCAUCUUUUUCAUGAAUGAACUCUAGCUGAGAUCUCCCUUUCUCCUCCUUCUUCUGAUCAGCCAGCCCCACUGCAGGGUGUGAUAGCAUUGUUUGCCAACUUGUUGAGAUUUAGAAGCAACCGGCAGAGAGACCUCUGGGGGAUUAUCUUGAUUCUACUAAUUGCUGUGAGAAGACCCGUAUUGACUGUGAAUGGGUGUUCCCUUGGGCAGGGGGUCCUAGACUGUGUAGCACAGAGAAAGUGAACUGAGCCUGAGGGCAUCCCUCCGUGCUUCCUGCCUGUGCAUACCAUGUGACCAGCUGCUUCUGGCUCCUGCUGCUCUGACUUCCU